This 457-nucleotide ribosomal RNA is filed under the name uncultured Desulfobulbus sp. RNAcentral describes it as "bacterial SSU rRNA". It matches the Rfam family "Bacterial small subunit ribosomal RNA", at positions 930 to 1382 of the family's 1533-position model. The record is from RNAcentral. Lineage: Bacteria; Pseudomonadati; Thermodesulfobacteriota; Desulfobulbia; Desulfobulbales; Desulfobulbaceae.
CGGUGGAGUAUGUGGUUUAAUUCGAUGCAACGCGAAGAACCUUACCUGGUCUUGACAUCCCGGAGACCCUUAGGAAACUAGGGGUGCUUCCAUCUGGAAGAAUCUGGAGACAGGUGCUGCAUGGCUGUCGUCAGCUCGUGUCGUGAGAUGUUGGGUUAAGUCCCGCAACGAGCGCAACCCUUGCCUUUAGUUGCCAGCAGUUCGGCUGGGCACUCUAAAGGGACUGCCGGUGUUAAACCGGAGGAAGUGGGGAUGACGUCAAGUCCUCAUGGCCUUUAUGACCAGGGCUACACACGUACUACAAUGGCCGAUACAAAGGGCAGCGACACUGCGAGGUGAAGCCAAUCCCGUAAAAUCGGUCUCAGUCCGGAUUGGAGUCUGCAACUCGACUCCAUGAAGUUGGAAUCGCUAGUAAUCGCGCAUCAGCCAUGGCGCGGUGAAUACGUUCCCGGGCCUU